GAUGAACGUUGGCGGUGUGCCUAAUACAUGCAAGUCGAACGGAGUUAAUAGCAAUAUUGACUUAGUGGCGAACGGGUGAGUAACGCGUUGGUGAUCUGCCUUGAAGUGUGGAAUAACGCUCCGAAAGGAGCGCUAAUACCGCAUGUGCUCUCAAUUUUUAGAAACUUGAGAGGAAAGGAUCUAUUCGCUUCGAGAGGAGCCUGCGUCCCAUCAGCUGGUUGGUAGGGUAAAGGCCUACCAAGGCAAUGACGGGUAGGGGACCUGAGAGGGUGGCCCCCCACAAUGGAACUGAAACACGGUCCAUACACCUACGGGUGGCAGCAGUAGGGAAUAUUAGAAAUGGACGAAAGUCUGAUCUAGCAACACCGCGUGUGCGAAGAAGGCCUUCGGGGUCGUAAAGCACUUUUUGGAAGGAAUAGGAAGGAAUGUACUUCCAGAAUAAAGUCUCGGCUAACUACGUG
This 461-nucleotide ribosomal RNA is filed under the name uncultured bacterium. Its description in RNAcentral is "bacterial SSU rRNA". It matches the Rfam family "Bacterial small subunit ribosomal RNA", at positions 28 to 507 of the family's 1533-position model. The record is from RNAcentral.